Molecule: ribosomal RNA, 1237 nt
Filed under: metagenome
Description: bacterial LSU rRNA
Rfam family: Bacterial large subunit ribosomal RNA
Source: RNAcentral
UGAGUACGAGAUGCUACGGCAUCGAAGCAGUCUAUGUCAUACUUCCAAGAAAAGCUUGCACUGUCAGAAACAGAUAAUGCCUGUACCAUAACCGACACAGGUGGGUAGGUAGAGUAUACUAAGGGGCGCGAGAUAACUCUCUCUAAGGAACUCGGCAAAAUGACUCCGUAACUUCGGGAGAAGGAGUGCCUUAUUUUUAAGGUUGCAAUAACAAGAUCCAAGCAACUGUUUACCAAAAACACAGGUCUCCGCUAAGUCGUAAGACGAUGUAUGGGGGCUGACGCCUGCCCAGUGCCAGAAGGUUAAAGAAGUCGGUUAGCAUUCGCGAAGCUGGUAACCGAAGCCCUGGUGAACGGCGGCCGUAACAAUAACGGUCCUAAGGUAGCGAAAUUCCUUGUCGGGUAAGUUCCGACCCGCACGAAAGGCGUAAUGAUUUGGAUACUGUCUCGGAGAGGGGCUCGGUGAAAUAGACUUGUCUGUGAAGAUGCGGACUACCUGCACCUGGACAGAAAGACCCUAUGAAGCUUUACUGUAACUUGAAAUUGAAAUUGGACUUUAUUUGCGCAGUAUAGGUGGGAGGCGUUGAAAAUAUUCUUGCGGGAAUAUUGGAGCCAUCAGUGAGAUACCACUCUUGUAAUGUUAGAUUUCUAACUUUAUAUCAUUAUCUGGUUAAAGAACAGUUUCAGGCGGGCAGUUUGACUGGGGCGGUCGCCUCCCAAAUGGUAACGGAGGCGCACAAAGGUUUCCUCUGAACGGGUAGAAAUCGUAUCUAGAGUGUAAAGGCAUAAGGAAGCUUGACUGUGAGACCUACAAGUCGAGCAGGGACGAAAGUCGGUCUUAGUGAUCUGACGGUGCUGAGUGGAAAGGCCGUCACUCAACGGAUAAAAGUUACUCUAAGGAUAACAGGCUGAUCUCCCCCAAGAGUUCACAUCGACGGGGAGGUUUGGCACCUCGAUGUCGGCUCAUCGCAUCCUGGGGCGGUAGUACGUCCCAAGGGUUGGGCUGUUCGCCCAUGAAAGCGGUACGCGAGCUGGGUUCAGAACGUCGUGAGACAGUUCGGUCCAUAUCCGGUGUAGGCGUUAGAAUAUUGAGAGGAGCCUUCUUUAGUACGAGAGGACCGAGAAGGACAUACCUCUGGUGUACCAGUUAUCGUGCCAACGGUAAACGCUGGGUAGCUAUGUAUGGAGUGGAUAACCGCUGAAAGCAUCUAAGUGGGAAGCCCACCUCAAGAUAAGUA